RNAcentral lists this small RNA (104 nucleotides) under Salmonella enterica subsp. enterica serovar Heidelberg. RNAcentral's name for it is "RtT RNA". It matches the Rfam family "RtT RNA", at positions 17 to 119 of the family's 130-position model. Rfam says of the family: This family represents a bacterial cis-regulatory element known as RtT RNA. The exact function of RtT is unknown although it is thought that it may be involved in changing the cellular response in relation to amino acid starvation. Lineage: Bacteria; Pseudomonadati; Pseudomonadota; Gammaproteobacteria; Enterobacterales; Enterobacteriaceae. The record is from RNAcentral.
GAAGGAUGAGAAGCUUCGACCAAGGUUCGAUUCGAGCGCAGCGAGAAAGCGUUGCCGCAGGCAACGACCCGAAGGGCGAAGCGCGCAGCGCUGAGUCAUCCUUC